RNAcentral lists this transfer RNA (78 nucleotides) under Felis catus (domestic cat). It matches the Rfam family "tRNA". From Rfam's summary of the family: Transfer RNA (tRNA) molecules are approximately 80 nucleotides in length. Their secondary structure includes four short double-helical elements and three loops (D, anti-codon, and T loops). The record is from Rfam by way of RNAcentral. Lineage: Eukaryota; Metazoa; Chordata; Mammalia; Carnivora; Felidae.
GCUCAGUCGGUUAAAUGUCAGACUCUUGACUUCAGAUCAUGAUCUCAAAGUUUGUGGGUUCAAGCCCCACAUUGGGCU